UAAGUUAAUAUAAAAUAUAUUUUAAUAAUAAAAUAUAAGUUAGGAUUUAAGAGUGUAUUAAAUAUAGGAAAACUGUAUUAAAUAUAUGAAAAGAGCCAAGUUAAAUAACAGCUACAUUCAAUUUUUGUAAACCGGUAAGAGAUUCCUGCACUAUUUACAUAUAUCAAAUGGGACUAAAUGUUUAAAUGGAAUUCCUGAAACUUUUCAAGUUCUACUAUCAGUGAUGAAAUAAGAAGUCAGUUGGCCGGGCGUGGUGGCUCAUGCCUGUAAUCCCAGCACUUUGGGAGGCUGAGGUGGGCGAAUCAUGAGGUCAGGAGAUCGAGACCAUCUUGUCUAACAUGGUGAAACCCCAUCUCUACUAAAAAUACAAAAAAAUUAGCCGGGUUUGGUGGCAGGCGCCUGUAGUCCCAGCUACUUGGGAGGCUGAGGCAGGAGAAUGACGUGAACCCGGGAGGCAGAGCUUGCCAGUGAGCCAAGAUCGCACCACUGGGCGACAGAGCCAGAAUCCAUCUCCAAAAAAAACCACAAGUCAGUUAAAGUGAAUACUACGUAAAUAAUUCUGAGUACACGUUGAGGCAGGCACCUACUCUGGAAAGGUAUGAAAAAAGAAAUAUAUGCUUGUUACCUGUCUGAGGUUGAUGCCUCUGGUUCCAGCAUAAGGGCUUUCUUUGAGUGGUUUGCCAUAAGACUAUGUUACCUGGACUUUCCAGAUAUAAAUUCCUGUUUGGCUGAGGGAUGGAUCCUCAUGCUCUUCUUGUCUCAGAAGGUUUCCCAAUUCCAACAAAACCCAGUGUUGAUCCAGUAGAAGAGCUAACCAAGCAGGAUGCCUUUCCUCGAGCAGAGCU
Macaca mulatta (Rhesus monkey) is the source of this 845-nucleotide long non-coding RNA. Lineage: Eukaryota; Metazoa; Chordata; Mammalia; Primates; Cercopithecidae. The record is from Ensembl.